Molecule: small RNA, 68 nt
Filed under: Arabidopsis thaliana (thale cress)
Lineage: Eukaryota; Viridiplantae; Streptophyta; Magnoliopsida; Brassicales; Brassicaceae
Description: ATSL093060
Source: RNAcentral
UUCUUCUAGAAAAUAUUGAAAUUUGGUGUAGAGGAUCGUGGAGUAGGAGACUGAUCCUUCAAAAGAUA